Molecule: ribosomal RNA, 1030 nt
Filed under: Rana hanluica
Lineage: Eukaryota; Metazoa; Chordata; Amphibia; Anura; Ranidae
Description: partial large subunit ribosomal RNA
Rfam family: Bacterial large subunit ribosomal RNA
Source: RNAcentral
AGCUCUACCUUAGUUUUUUUGUUAAACUGAACAAGACCUCAAACUUAAGAGCUAUUCAAAUAAGGCACAGCUUAUUUGAAAUAGGAUACAACCUACAACAUAGGGUAACCGAGAGUAACUUAAAUAAAGUGGGCCUAAAAGCAGCCAUCUUUAAAAAAGCGUUAAAGCUUAACUACUCCUCACUCACAAUACCUAAAGCCCUCACUAACCCCUCAAUACUAUUGAACAGUUUUAUACUCAUAUAAAAGCUAUUAUGCUAGAACUAGUAACAAGAAAUUGCCUUUCUCCUAAAUGUAAGUAUACACCAAAAUAAACUCUGUUGGCUAUUAACGUGAAUGCUAAACUAUAGUAACACCCGCUAGAAAACUCUAUAACUCUUAACGUUAACCUUACACCAGAACAUUCCAGGAAAGAUUAAAAGAAAAAGAAGGAACUCGGCAAAUCAUAGCCCCGCCUGUUUACCAAAAACAUCGCCUCUUGCAAAACAUAAGAGGUCCAGCCUGCCCAGUGACGAAGUUCAACGGCCGCGGUACCCUAACCGUGCGAAGGUAGCAUAAUCACUUGUUCUUUAAAUGAGGACUUGUAUCAACGGCACUACGAGGGCUAUACUGUCUCCUUUUUCCAAUCAGUGAAACUGAUCUCCCCGUGAAGAAGCGGGGAUCAAAAUAUAAGACGAGAAGACCCCAUGGAGCUUUAAACUCUCUGUGCACUUCUGUGCCCCUACAUCAUUAGACAUAAGAAAUCUGUACACUAGUUUUAGGUUGGGGGGACCACGGAGUACAACUUAACCUCCUUAACAAAUGGGUUAAUACCCUUAUCCACGAGACACACCUCUAAGAAUUAUUAAACUAAUGCCUAUGACCCGAUAUUCGAUCAAUGAACCAAGUUACCCUGGGGAUAACAGCGCAAUCUACUUCAAGAGCCCAUAUCGACAAGUAGGUUUACGACCUCGAUGUUGGAUCAGGGUAUCCCGGUGGUGCAGCCGCUACCAAUGGUUCGUUUGUUCAACGAUUAAAACCCUACGUGAUCU